Molecule: ribosomal RNA, 482 nt
Filed under: uncultured bacterium
Lineage: Bacteria
Description: partial 16S ribosomal RNA
Rfam family: Bacterial small subunit ribosomal RNA
Source: RNAcentral
AUUGAACGCUGGCGGCAUGCCUUACACAUGCAAGUCGAACGGUAACGGGCCUUCGGGUGCCGACGAGUGGCGAACGGGUGAGUAAUACAUCGGAACGUGCCCGAUCGUGGGGGAUAACGAGGCGAAAGCUUUGCUAAUACCGCAUACGAUCUACGGAUGAAAGCAGGGGACCGCAAGGCCUUGCGCGGACGGAGCGGCCGAUGGCAGAUUAGGUAGUUGGUGGGAUAAAAGCUUACCAAGCCGACGAUCUGUAGCUGGUCUGAGAGGAUGAUCAGCCACACUGGGACUGGGACACGGCCCAGACUCCUACGGGAGGCAGCAGUGGGGAAUUUUGGACAAUGGGCGCAAGCCUGAUCCAGCCAUGUCGCGUGCAGGAUGAAGGCCUUCGGGUUGUAAACUGCUUUUGUACGGAACGAAAAGCCUUCUUUUAAUACAGGAGGGUCAUGACGGUACCGUAAGAAUAAGCACCGGCUAACUACGUG